AUAUUUAGACAAACGCGGUAUUCUUUAAGAAUAUUGAGGAAAGUCCAUGCUCACACAGACUGCGAUGUUUGUAAUGUUCGUGCAUAGGAAAAAAAUAACCUAUGGUAGAUUUUAAUCUAACGACAAAGGAAAAGUCUAAGUCUUUAGGAUAUGAUUUUUUCUUUUAAAGUGCCACAGUGACGAUUUCUUGAGAAAUUAAGAAGUGAAACGAGGUAAACUCCACGAGUGAGAAACCCAAAUUAUGGUAGGGGAGCUUUGACUAGGGAAUUGAACCGAUGUCAGGGACCGUUUUUGCGGUAGAUAAAUGUUUGUCGCCUUUUAAGGUACAGAACAUGGCUUAUUAAU
This 345-nucleotide RNase P RNA is filed under the name Bacilli bacterium. RNAcentral's name for it is "RNase P RNA component class B". It matches the Rfam family "Bacterial RNase P class B". Rfam says of the family: Ribonuclease P (RNase P) is a ubiquitous endoribonuclease, found in archaea, bacteria and eukarya as well as chloroplasts and mitochondria. Its best characterised activity is the generation of mature 5'-ends of tRNAs by cleaving the 5'-leader elements of precursor-tRNAs. Cellular RNase Ps are ribonucleoproteins. Lineage: Bacteria; Bacillati; Bacillota; Bacilli. The record is from RNAcentral.